GUACAAUCAGUCGCAAGCGUUUAUGCUCCAUCAUCUGUAGUUCUUUGAAUUAUUAAUUAGGUAUAGUUUUUUUUUUUUUGGUUUGAUGGAAGGAAGAUUGCCUCUUCUUUCAGCAGCAAGUUCUGUUCUUGUUAGCUUUGUUCUGGAGGCAUAUAUCAAUUCGCCAUCACGAGAGGGAUUUUAUAAUUUUGCAGAGUUAUUCCUCUGUAUAAUAUUAUCCUUCUCUUUGGUACAUCUGUCUUCUUCUUCCUCCAAAUAUUUAUAAAAGCUUUGAAAUGAUUCACUUAUUGGUACAUGGAAGACUUUCUUGCUUAUUCAGAACUAUGCUUUGGUCAUUCUUAUAAUAUAGACGAUGCAUUACUUUCUCUAAAUUUUUAGAAAUAAAUUAGAAACUGAAUUUAGUCAUCUCUUAAUCACACAUUUUGAGCCCAACACAAACCAAAGUACUAAGCAUUUAGCUAAAUCCAUGUUUUAGCAGUCUAUGGGGUAUAUAGUUUAGAUUAGUUUUGAAGACACUAUCAUCGUCUUAAAAAAGAUUGAGAAAUUGCAAUUGAUGAAUACCACAUAAUGGAUUUAAAAGGAUCCCAUGUUUGAAAAUAUUUUGCCUUUCUACAUUGCGAGAAACAUAAUAAAUAAACAUGACAAAUGAUAACUGAAUGUGAAUUCACAUAAUAAGUUUGAAAACAUGUGAUAUGAAGAACAAGGAUAAUGAUCAAGAGUCCUUGAUCUCAAUUAUAACCGAGUUUCCCACAUUGGACGAAGUUUAGCAUACUGUACAUUGAUCCAUGAGCUAUUACCUAGCCAGGAACAAGAUCAGCAAUGUAGAUGGCUUGCACAGAUUGCUGAAACUCAUCGUUCUCGAUCUUAGCUUCAACGAGAUCACAAUCAAGAACCCAAUAAGCCAGCUAGUUUCCAACUACGACUCUCUUGUACAUUCGAAACCCCAUUCAGACCAACGUUGGUGAGGAGCAGCUGUGUAAGACCGCAGACCAACGUCCCAAAAGCUGCUUUUGUAGCGGAGAUUCUCUGUCACCGCAGUCGCAAACCAACAGACAUAGUAGAGUUGUUGGAUGAUCAGAUUCCCUAGCCUCCAUCAAGGAGGCCAAAGGCAGAAGCCAUCAUCAGCCGCAGAGACACCGCCACAUUGACGGCUCCUCUUUUUACACAUGUUAUGAAUUGGCCAAUGAAAAGAGAAUGAUCCUCUCAUAAAACAGUUGUCGUAUUCUACUGAAUAGAGUUUGUCAACUUAUAUUUCAUAAAACUUCAUCUUCACAAAUAUGGAUUAUAUUCUUUUUCACUGUAUAUAAUAAAAAUAGUACCCCCAAAGUAAAUAUAAAUGUAACAUCUGUAAAAUGGGAACUCAUGAAAGAAACUUCACCGGCGGUCUUACGUCCCCCCGGCAGCAUAUAUUUCAUCUCCCUUCUCUUUUCAUCAUCUUCUUCUUCCCCUGUAUCGCCACCACAGUUCUGUGACUGUGAGA
Brassica napus (rape) is the source of this 1480-nucleotide long non-coding RNA. RefSeq lists it as uncharacterized. The transcript is spliced from 2 exons. The record is from RefSeq and is a predicted model, not a curated record. NCBI's taxonomy places the organism in Eukaryota, Viridiplantae, Streptophyta, Magnoliopsida, Brassicales, Brassicaceae.